This 458-nucleotide long non-coding RNA is filed under the name Brassica napus (rape). RNAcentral's name for it is "long non-coding RNA (BNAP_LNC003215)". The record is from RNAcentral. Lineage: Eukaryota; Viridiplantae; Streptophyta; Magnoliopsida; Brassicales; Brassicaceae.
ACCUUGGAAAUCGUGCCUGAGAGGAAACGCUAGGGCGAACUCUCUUCGAUAGCAUAUAGUUAAAGACGCAAAACUCUCUUGCGCCGCACUCGAUCUUCCUUUACAUCUAAGAAACUAUCUCCAAUAACAUAUAAAAGGAAAAAUAUUUAUACUCAUAGUAAAGGGGACUGAGGAUAACCGGGGAAAAGAGGACUCCUGACUCAGUCACAUAGAAUAUAAAUUAAGAUGCGGAAAGGGUUUAGAUCCGCUAAUCAAAAAGUAAAGAUCUGCUAAUCGGAAAGUAGAGAGAUCCGCUAAUCGGAAACAAACAGCCGAUCUAGAGAUCGAAGGUAGUUUACAACAAAAAACAAAAGGGAUUAAUGACCGGCGGCAAGAAAACCACCGGCCACUUGAACAAAAACUCUGUUUUGUAAAACUUUUUAGAGAAAAAUCAGAAGAAAAUCAAGAGAGAGGUCCGG